Long non-coding RNA from Macaca fascicularis (crab-eating macaque), 3139 nucleotides. The record is from Ensembl. NCBI's taxonomy places the organism in Eukaryota, Metazoa, Chordata, Mammalia, Primates, Cercopithecidae.
CCUCUUUCUCUGGUUAAACCUGCAUAAGUCUCAACUCUAAUACUUUAAGCAAGUCUGACAGUUGAUAAACUUCACCUUGACUCAUAAUCAUCCUCUCAGUCUCUCUCCUUCACAAACUCACAGAUCACUCAAUGUUCCAAGAUUCAUGUAAAAAGAAGUCUUUUGUUCUAAUCACUGAGAACUUCCGGAGAAAAGAAGAAAGGGUCUUGCUUUGUCACCCAGGCUGGAGUGCAAUGGUACGAUCAUGGCUCAUGGCAGCCUCAACCUCUCAAGCUCAAGUGAUCCUCCUGCCUCAGCCUUCCAAAGUGCUGGGAUUAUAGGCAUGAGCCACCACACCCAGCCUGAAGUAUGGGAUCUUGGGCAAGUUAUUUAAUGUUUUUAAAGGUUCCCUUUCUUCACUUGCAAACUGGGGUAAAGAUAGUGUCUAUCUCAUGGGAAUGCUGUGAAGAUUAAAUGAGAUAGGGCAAUGGGUCUCAAACUUGACUGUACAUUAGAAUCACCAUAGAAGUCUCGAAAGUCCAACUGCCAGGGAGCACCCAGACCAGUUAAAGAAAAAUUUCAGGUGUGGGAGUCAGCCAUUAAUAUUUUAAAAAUCUCUGUGGAUCGUUCCAAUGUUCAGCUAUAUAUGAGAGAGAGUGAGAUGAUACUAAUAAUAAGCGCUCAAUGAGUAGUUGUAUCUUUUAUUAAUAUAAUUAAAAAUUGAGUGAGAGUCUCCCAAAUUUGAUAGACUGCUGAAAUUGAGGGCUUACAGGGAUCCAGAUUCAUUUCUUCUUAAAUUCAUCUAUCCAACAAUGACAGAGCAUUUACUGUGUGCUAGGAUCUGUGCCGAAUUUCCUCUCUCCAACUGAUAGUAAAAAGAUCAUACUGCCUUCAAGAUGAAAUUCAAGUUCUUUAGGAUGACCUGUCCUCCCCAUCCCUUCACACCCUAUUGGCUGUCAGUGCCAUGGCCUAUAUGCUGGCCUCACUCUGGUGGAAGACUGCUCAUGCUCAAGCAGGCUUCCUUUCCUUCAUCUUGCUUACGAGGCUCUAGUGUUCCAGGACCCCGUGGAGCUAUUCCCCAGGGCCCCUCAAAGGGAGAGAACCCUUCCUCUUGAACCAUUCAGAGGAGCAGGGCAGCUCAGAGUCAUUACUUGGAACAGCUGGAGAAGCUAGAGGCUGGAUCUUCUGUGGCCACCACAUGAAAUCCCAUGAGGUUGGCAGCCUUGGGGGAAUAACAUGACUUUAUGACCAUGGGAAUAACAUGACUGAAGACUGUUUUGUUAUCUCAGAGGAGAAACACCUCUAACAGCUCUGUACUGCAGCCACCUAAUGGGUGAGGGGCUGUGGUGGCUGCCACAACUGUGGCAAAUUCUGCUGAAGUAAAGACUUCCAUCAGGAAUCUUCUCACCCCUUCCUGGCUUUGAGCUGACCUCCAAAGUGGCCCUGCUGAGAAGGUUCUAGUCCUUUCUCUCCAUCUCCAGCUCCGUCAGGAGGUGCCCCCAGUGUGUAGAUUUGUAUGUCCUCUUAUUGAGCCUUCAGAGCUCUUUCUGUAGGGGCUGGCUAGGAAGACUUUACUCGAUGUUUCCAGUACACACCCACAAUUCCGCCCACCCAUGAUUCUGGCGCUUCCAACACCACUGGGUGAAGUCAUCAACUUUUCAGCCGGGCACAGGGUGAUGCCUGCCUUCUGGCUUGUUCUUCAGGGAUCUGAUGCCUACAUGCUACCUUCCUGGGUGCCAUUGGAGCUCUGAAGUUUUACCAGUUCCCCUUUCUGACAGAAGUGCCUGGGACGAAAAUCAAGAGACCUGGUGCCUGAUUCUUCAGCCCAAGCCAGUAAGCAGGACACAGCGGAGCACUCGUGCCCUCGUCAGAAGAGUAUUCAUGCCGAAUGAGCUCCGAGGAGUGCUGGAGGAAUUACUCUGUGAUUGCUUGCCAGCUUCCCCCUGUACUGGGAUCUGAGAGGAGGCAAGAUAAGCCUCCCUGUAAAAUCCUCACACCUGCUUAGACUCUGCCUCAUGCUGGCUACGCUGCCACUUUCCCCAUCUUUCCCCCACACUAGACAACAUUAAUCCAUGAUGAUAGCUAUUCCAGCAGAGCCAGAAUCUGGUGUCAGAGUCUUUUUCAAGAUAGCUCUGUAGGCAGCCACUUUGGAUCAUCCAGUCAGCAUGAGAGCGGAGACUUGUUUGCAGUCCUGCUUCCGAGUGAAUUUGUGUAAAAGUAAUUCUAAAAUCAAUGUCCAGAGAAUAGGGUUAAGAGGACAUUGGGGAAGGAACGGGCAGAGGCAGGGCUACUGGAGAACAUAGCUAUUAUUUAGGUGGGGCUGCCUCAUGGCAGCCCAGGUAUAACAUGCCAGCCUUCAGAUAGGCAUGGUGAUCUCUUCCCAUUGUAUUUCCCCACUGUGUGUGUGUGUGUGACUGUGUAUCCAAGACCCAAGAUAAAUGGCUGGAGCUGUGGGUUCAGUUUGCAACCACGGAGCAAGAGGGAUCUCCCUGAUGGAGAUCAAACUGAUGUCCUUGAUUGCCCUAGUGUGGUUUUCAACCAGCUAAGCUAGCUUGUGACCAGCAGAGAAAAAUAAGGGCUCAUUGUUCAAAGUGUGGUCUGUGGCCAGCUUGUUGGCCUCCUCUGGGAAUGCGUUAGAAAUGCAGAAUCUCAAGCCUCGUUCCAGAGCUACUGAAAUAGUGAUUCAGAGGCCACGUGCGGUGGCUCACACCUGUAAUUCCAGCACUUUGGGAGGCCGAGGUAGGAGGAUUGCUUGAGGGCAGGAAUAUGAGACCAACCUGGGCAACAUUUCAAGAUCCCAUCUCUUUAAAAAGCCAGGCACGGUGGUUGAUAUGGUUAGGCUUUGUGUCCCCACCUAAAUCUCAUCUUGAAUUAUAAUCCCCAUAAUCCCCACGUGUUAAGGGAGAGACCAGGUGGAGGUAAUUGAAUCAUGGAAGCAGUUUCCCCCAUGCUGUUCUCGUGCUAGUGAGUGAGUGCUCACAAGAUCUGAUGGUUUUAUAAGGGGCUCUUCCCCCUUUGCUUGGCAUUUCUCCUUCCUGCCACCUUGUGAAGGUGGGUGCCUUGCUUUUCUCUUUGCCUUCCACCAUGAUUGUAAGUUUCCUGAGGCCUGCUCAGCCACGCUGAACUGUGAGUCAAUUAAACCUCUUUCCUUUAUAAAUUA